AAUAACAGUAAAAUGAGACGUUUAUGGUGAAAAGGAUACAGAUAUAGAAAUAUGUCAUUCUUCUCAAAACAGACUAAUGAGGGAAGAGUGUUUAGUCAUAAGUAUCGAAAAGAUCAAUAUUCUAUUGUGUUUAGUGUUUUGCUUCACGGUCUAAAGCAGAUGUUUUACUGAGUAAGAGUGAAAAUGCUUACCUUGGGAGUGAGUUGAGCAGACACAACAUCAAAAAAGGAAGACUCUUUGUUACAAAAUGUCACACAUCCACUCGAUCGAAG
This 272-nucleotide unclassified non-coding RNA is filed under the name Hevea brasiliensis (rubber tree). The record is from RNAcentral. Lineage: Eukaryota; Viridiplantae; Streptophyta; Magnoliopsida; Malpighiales; Euphorbiaceae.